Molecule: ribosomal RNA, 228 nt
Filed under: Triticum aestivum (bread wheat)
Lineage: Eukaryota; Viridiplantae; Streptophyta; Magnoliopsida; Poales; Poaceae
Description: partial small subunit ribosomal RNA
Source: RNAcentral
AUGAAUUUCUUGGCCUGGAACUGUCGGGGACUGGGGUUGGACCCGACGGUGGGCGAGCUUAGAGACCUGAUACGGUCUUACAACCCAGCGGUGGUAUUUUUGAGCGAGACAAAAAAGAAGGCGAGAGCGAUGGAAAAAGUGAAAUGGAGUUUCGGGUUUUGGAAUGGCAUAGCAGUAGACUGUGUGGGAAGAAGUGGCGGCUUAGCUUUAUGGUGGAGAGACAACAUC